RNAcentral lists this ribosomal RNA (484 nucleotides) under uncultured bacterium. RNAcentral describes it as "partial 16S ribosomal RNA". It matches the Rfam family "Bacterial small subunit ribosomal RNA", at positions 30 to 507 of the family's 1533-position model. The record is from RNAcentral.
AUUGAACGCUGGCGGCAUGCUUUACACAUGCAAGUCGAACGGCAGCACGGGCUUCGGCCUGGUGGCGAGUGGCGAACGGGUGAGUAAUAUAUCGGAACGUACCCAGACGUGGGGGAUAACGUAGCGAAAGUUACGCUAAUACCGCAUACGAUCUAUGGAUGAAAGCAGGGGACCGCAAGGCCUUGUGCUCCUGGAUCGGCCGAUAUCUGAUUAGCUAGUUGGUGAGGUAAAGGCUCACCAAGGCGACGAUCAGUAGCUGGUCUGAGAGGACGACCAGCCACACUGGAACUGAGACACGGUCCAGACUCCUACGGGAGGCAGCAGUGGGGAAUUUUGGGCAAUGGGCGCAAGCCUGAUCCAGCAAUGCCGCGUGAGUGAAGAAGGCCUUCGGGUUGUAAAGCUCUUUUGUCAGGGAAGAAACGGUAGAGGCUAAUAUCCUUUGCUAAUGACGGUACCUGAAGAAUAAGCACCGGCUAACUACGUG